This 582-nucleotide long non-coding RNA is filed under the name Sorghum bicolor (sorghum). RNAcentral's name for it is "long non-coding RNA (SBIC_LNC011060)". Lineage: Eukaryota; Viridiplantae; Streptophyta; Magnoliopsida; Poales; Poaceae. The record is from RNAcentral.
GCCGUGCCAAUGCCCAUGUCGAGCUCCUCUUCAUGCUUGGCUGACGAUGACUACGUUGCGACAUCGUUCACCUCCCUAGAGGCAUGGUCAAUGAGUUCAUGUGUCUUGGUGAUGUGGUAGUGCGGUUGUUAUUCUUGCUCUUCUUCUUUUCUCUCUCUUCUCUUCUCUCCUUUGGUUGCUCUCCUUUGGGUGCUGGCACUUUUCACCCCUGUUUGGGCGUGUGCCGUUGUAAACAAUUUUGUAACUUUAUCCGGCCGUUUUGGGCCACUAUAUAUAAAAUUCAGGUGGGGAACGUCCCCCGGUGACCCUAAAAAAACAAAAAAAGAGGUUAUAUUAGGAGACUGUUGGGGAAAGAAAAAGUAUUUAUCUCUUUUAAUAUCGUAGUUUUAUGUGGAUGAGGGUUGGAUCGUUGAAGAUGCUCUAAACCAAAAAAAAAAAAGACCCAAGUGCUUCUCAUGGACGUGGAGUGGAAGAGCAGGAGCAGUUGGAUGGGUCGAGAUAAGGAUGGAUCGAGGACAGUUGUGCACUGUCCAGUGUCCCCAUUACAUCAUGGAUUGAUCAGGCUGGCUCCAAUAACCACCC